This 2374-nucleotide ribosomal RNA is filed under the name Triticum aestivum (bread wheat). RNAcentral's name for it is "partial small subunit ribosomal RNA". Lineage: Eukaryota; Viridiplantae; Streptophyta; Magnoliopsida; Poales; Poaceae. The record is from RNAcentral.
UAAAUAGAGAGGAGAGGCAGAGAGAGAGCAGGGGGAGAGGGUGGAUGGUUUGCAUAAUCCCAAAGAGGGUCCCAAAAAGGGGCGCGGCGGCGACGGCGGCGGUGGGGCGAGGAGGCCUAGCGGCGGUACCGUCGGCGUCGGCGGCGGCGGCUGGUCCGAUGGUUAAACGACGUCUUCGAUAGGGAACUACGGUUCUGACUUCGGUAGCUGCGCGGCCGCCGCUUCCUCUUCCGCAGGCCUCCCGACCCGCCGUUCGACUUACCACAACGCCGCUGAGCGUUGGGUGCCCGCCGGCUCGUCACCCGUUUAGGUGUCCUAAUGUCGCUACGCUCGUACAUAAUACCGCGGAUGGGACGACGAAUGAUAACGCGUCCGACCCCACUAAUAAGGUACAUGAACUUAGUCCUACCUCACCUUUGUGGACGGCGACCACGGAUACCACUGUACAUGACGAUAGGAGUUAUACCCGUACUACCAGUCUACAUACCCAGUGUCGUUAUAGUCAUGGGUAGUAGUAUGGUGGUCGGGGUCUUAUGACGGUCAUUCGGUGUUAUGUUCAGAUUUUGACUGUUCGAUCGGGGUAGUUUCCUAUAAAGGAGACGACAACGACUAGGCGACGGACGACAUCAGUCACGAGGGUUUCGGUGAAGUUUGUCGCAACUACUCCAUUUUCCAGACUUCUUCUGUAGGUGUGGUGACUUGGGCUCACCCUUGUUACCAUCAAUGGACUUGGUUUCAUCGUCUGGUCGAAUAGGUACCAUGCCACCGGUUUAGAUGGUCCCUUUUGUCGUCUUCGGAAGAUCACCGUUAGGAUGAAGUUGGCUAAGUUUAGGAUUUUCGUUCCAAGUCAGCUUCUUAGUCUUAUGGGUUGGAGAAGGAGGAGAUUACUCAAAUGGAUUGAGUGGCAACCGAAGUUACAUACGACGAUUACCUUACAUGUUGUCGUCACGGAUACCACCGAAAACCAUACCUAGGGUUAAAAUACCCGGUCCUUACAUACCACCCACCUUAUUAGACAGCCUACCUUUUAUGUUCGGGGCUCCCUCCUGUCGUAUACCUAGCAUACCUAAGGGGUUACUUUUGAACCUACCAAACUUACUCAACUUCUCUCCUGGUGCCUCACCUGAGAGAUUAUUGGUUGUACCGAAACAUGGACGACGACGCUGUCGACAGUUUCGUGUCCUACAAAGACGAUGACUACCGAGAUUACGUCAACACGUCCUAGUCAUGUUGCCCAGACUGAAUCGACUGUGAAUGCUUUUACGGUUCAAGAAAUAAUAAUUCAGUAUGUCGCUCCUACUACAAGUGUUCUCGUAGUUCAUGUUACAAACCCGGUCGUGUGGAUUACCUUUAUCUUUCGAACUGUCACGAAUAGAUCUUCGAUUUAGACCGUUAAGAGGACACAAGGAAGAGAAGAGACAAUUGUGGUCACCCGUCAAACAACCAGAGCGACUCUACCAACCGGUCCAACUAAAACUGUUCUGCCACCUUGUGACCGUCGUUCUGUUCACCUGACCAACAAAGGGACAGUUCACCGUGUAACAGUUCCUAUAAGGGUUGUUGAACAAUUUCGUAUAGUAAGAGCUCAUAUUACUUUUGUUUGGACACUGUUUGUCGUCUCUAUGUGUCCUCCAGUUCGAGCUCGUUCCGGAAGUCCACAACUUCUAAAAGUUCCUAGUACAGAGGUUUUGUAGGUAGGACCUACUGAAGUCGAAAAUACUAUUGGCACUCUUCUAUUACGUUCUCUCCUUUAGUGUCGCCGUCGUAGUUGACUUCUUCUAGUGCUCAGGCUUCGACGACGGAUGACAACUGUUGUGACUUUUACUAAGGCCGUUACGCGUCCUUAGCGUCUUCGGACUUCAAUGGCCUCUCUUGUUUAGACGCCGCCUUCUGUUACACCACCGCCGACGGCGCUCACCGCAACGGGGCCUUCUACGAUUGGGGUGUCGGCGUUCGAACCGACAGCGUUUACCGACGACUAAAAAAACAGACAGCUCAACACUCAUUCCACUGUACUGUCGAACCCUCAAAACCUCCUCCGACCGCGCCAAGUCGACAACCUCCGUUAGUCCCGAGACAACCCCAAGGCAUCCACAAAAACGUCUUUCAAACUCCGUAUACUAAUCCAAAGAGAACUCUAAAGGGGGGACAUAAUCAUAAAGAGAUAGAACCUCAACUCAAGCCGACCAUCCUCUAUCUCUAGUAGUAAACAACUAGACCCCACCACCACACAACAGAAAAAAAUAGAACAGCAGCCAUCUUUUACAUGGAUCCACACCACUAAACAUGACCAAAACGUUCUUCAUUGAACAGACAAAGUCACAAAUACAUGAUACACAGUCUACGCAGAGUACAAAAGAAGUUGUUAGAAGAG